Molecule: ribosomal RNA, 535 nt
Filed under: uncultured Pedobacter sp.
Lineage: Bacteria; Pseudomonadati; Bacteroidota; Sphingobacteriia; Sphingobacteriales; Sphingobacteriaceae
Description: bacterial SSU rRNA
Rfam family: Bacterial small subunit ribosomal RNA
Source: RNAcentral
ACUCUGAACCAGCCAUGCCGCGUGCAGGAAGACAGCCCUCUGGGUCGUAAACUGCUUUUAUUCGGGAAUAAACCACAUUACGUGUAAUGAGCUGAAUGUACCGAAGGAAUAAGGAUCGGCUAACUCCGUGCCAGCAGCCGCGGUAAUACGGAGGAUCCAAGCGUUAUCCGGAUUUAUUGGGUUUAAAGGGUGCGUAGGCGGCUUAUUAAGUCAGGGGUGAAAGACGGUGGCUCAACCAUCGCAGUGCCCUUGAUACUGAUGAGCUUGAAUACACUAGAGGUAGGCGGAAUGUGACAAGUAGCGGUGAAAUGCAUAGAUAUGUCACAGAACACCGAUUGCGAAGGCAGCUUACUAUGGUGUGAUUGACGCUGAGGCACGAAAGCGUGGGGAUCAAACAGGAUUAGAUACCCUGGUAGUCCACGCCCUAAACGAUGAAUACUCGCUGUUAGCGAUACACAGUUAGCGGCUAAGCGAAAGCGUUAAGUAUUCCACCUGGGGAGUACGCCCGCAAGGGUGAAACUCAAGGAAUUGACGG